UUAAGUUAUUAAGGGCGCACGGUGGAUGCCUUGGCACUAGAAGCCGAUGAAGGACGUUACUAACGACGAUAUGCUUUGGGGAGCUGUAAGUAAGCUUUGAUCCAGAGAUUUCCGAAUGGGGAAACCCAGCAUGAGUUAUGUCAUGUUAUCGAUAUGUGAAUACAUAGCAUAUCAGAAGGCACACCCGGAGAACUGAAACAUCUUAGUACCCGGAGGAAGAGAAAGAAAAUUCGAUUCCCUUAGUAGCGGCGAGCGAAACGGGAAGAGCCCAAACCAACAAGCUUGCUUGUUGGGGUUGUAGGACACUCUAUACGGAGUUACAAAGGACGACAUUAGACGAAUCAUCUGGAAAGAUGAAUCAAAGAAGGUAAUAAUCCUGUAGUCGAAAAUGUUGUCUCUCUUGAGUGGAUCCUGAGUACGACGGAGCACGUGAAAUUCCGUCGGAAUCUGGGAGGACCAUCUCCUAAGGCUAAAUACUCUCUAGUGACCGAUAGUGAACCAGUACCGUGAGGGAAAGGUGAAAAGCACCCCGGAAGGGGAGUGAAAUAGAACCUGAAACCGUGUGCUUACAAGUAGUCAGAGCCCGUUAAUGGGUGAUGGCGUGCCUUUUGUAGAAUGAACCGGCGAGUUACGAUUUGAUGCAAGGUUAAGCAGUAAAUGUGGAGCCGUAGCGAAAGCGAGUCUGAAUAGGGCGUUUAGUAUUUGGUCGUAGACCCGAAACCAGGUGAUCUACCCUUGGUCAGGUUGAAGUUCAGGUAACACUGAAUGGAGGACCGAACCGACUUACGUUGAAAAGUGAGCGGAUGAACUGAGGGUAGCGGAGAAAUUCCAAUCGAACCUGGAGAUAGCUGGUUCUCUCCGAAAUAGCUUUAGGGCUAGCCUCAAGUGAUGAUUAUUGGAGGUAGAGCACUGUUUGGACGAGGGGCCCCUCUCGGGUUACCGAAUUCAGACAAACUCCGAAUGCCAAUUAAUUUAACUUGGGAGUCAGAACAUGGGUGAUAAGGUCCGUGUUCGAAAGGGAAACAGCCCAGACCACCAGCUAAGGUCCCAAAAUAUAUGUUAAGUGGAAAAGGAUGUGGCGUUGCCCAGACAACUAGGAUGUUGGCUUAGAAGCAGCCAUCAUUUAAAGAGUGCGUAAUAGCUCACUAGUCGAGUGACACUGCGCCGAAAAUGUACCGGGGCUAAACAUAUUACCGAAGCUGUGGAUUGUCCUUUGGACAAUGGUAGGAGAGCGUUCUAAGGGCGUUGAAGCAUGAUCGUAAGGACAUGUGGAGCGCUUAGAAGUGAGAAUGCCGGUGUGAGUAGCGAAAGACGGGUGAGAAUCCCGUCCACCGAUUGACUAAGGUUUCCAGAGGAAGGCUCGUCCGCUCUGGGUUAGUCGGGUCCUAAGCUGAGGCCGACAGGCGUAGGCGAUGGAUAACAGGUUGAUAUUCCUGUACCACCUAUAAUCGUUUUAAUCGAUGGGGGGACGCAGUAGGAUAGGCGAAGCGUGCGAUUGGAUUGCACGUCUAAGCAGUAAGGCUGAGUAUUAGGCAAAUCCGGUACUCGUUAAGGCUGAGCUGUGAUGGGGAGAAGACAUUGUGUCUUCGAGUCGUUGAUUUCACACUGCCGAGAAAAGCCUCUAGAUAGAAAAUAGGUGCCCGUACCGCAAACCGACACAGGUAGUCAAGAUGAGAAUUCUAAGGUGAGCGAGCGAACUCUCGUUAAGGAACUCGGCAAAAUGACCCCGUAACUUCGGGAGAAGGGGUGCUCUUUAGGGUUAACGCCCAGAAGAGCCGCAGUGAAUAGGCCCAAGCGACUGUUUAUCAAAAACACAGGUCUCUGCUAAACCGUAAGGUGAUGUAUAGGGGCUGACGCCUGCCCGGUGCUGGAAGGUUAAGAGGAGUGGUUAGCUUCUGCGAAGCUACGAAUCGAAGCCCCAGUAAACGGCGGCCGUAACUAUAACGGUCCUAAGGUAGCGAAAUUCCUUGUC
This 1972-nucleotide ribosomal RNA is filed under the name Staphylococcus aureus. RNAcentral describes it as "bacterial LSU rRNA". It matches the Rfam family "Bacterial large subunit ribosomal RNA", at positions 3 to 1973 of the family's 2925-position model. Lineage: Bacteria; Bacillati; Bacillota; Bacilli; Caryophanales; Staphylococcaceae. The record is from RNAcentral.